Non-coding RNA from Dendroctonus ponderosae (mountain pine beetle), 119 nucleotides. Lineage: Eukaryota; Metazoa; Arthropoda; Insecta; Coleoptera; Curculionidae. The record is from Rfam.
ACACCCUGGAUUCUCUUCAAAGCGUAUAAAUCUUUCGCCUUUUACUAAAGAUUUCCGUGGAGAGGGUCAAUAUAAAUGGGUCUUGAAGAAUUUUUCUGUAUGCCCUGUUCUUCGGAAUG